AUUUCAAGAUAUUUGUAAAGUCAUAACAUUUUUUUGUUUACUUCUCAUUAAAAAAUUUUACUUUGAUAUAUUUUGGCUCAUAUGCUAUUGAUAACCUACGGGCCAUGUACUAGCCCAUUAGUGAAGCGUACUUGUUAUGUGUUUUUUUCCAUACUGUGCUUUGAUCCAUCUCUAAUCGUGCCAUACUUUUAAGGCCCACGUAAUUAAGAUUCUAAGCCCAACCCAGCCAACGUACGUGCCGUGCCGUGCCGCGUGUCCUACCGAAACUGCUCGUGUCAUGUUAUGCCCAUGUCACGCCACAUGGCCCCGGUCCAUUGGCCAUCUUUAGUCAUCAGAAUUUACAACUAUUAUAAAUUGCGAUCUGUUGAAUUGACUAACAAAUUGAUAUCUCAACAACACGUGAUUAGUUUUGUUUUUGUCAUAGAUUUUUCUUUUAUUCAAAUAUUUUUUCAUUUCUUCGGUUAGGUCCUUAUAUACUUAAUUAUUGAUUCUGAAUUGUUGGAUGACUUCUUUGUUCAUCUCUUCUACAUCUAUUUUUAAAGCUUUUACCAUAUUUUAUAAAGGUUUAAAUGAUUAUAAUAUUCAUAAAGAUCUAUAAAUUCUGAGUAUACAUUAGCACUUGCAUUUUAUAACUCCUUGACUUUCUAGUCAUUGACCAAAUUUUUCUUCUAGCAUAUUUAUAUAUAUUUCUAAUCUAUUUUCCCAUUCAAGAUAUAUAUCAUCAAUGCUUUCACAUAUAUUUUGCAAUCUAAAUCUAGCGUCCUAAAUUGAAAAGUUCAUAUUAUUAUUGUUGUUAUUAUUAUUUAUUAUUCAACCUUUGUUAUUGAUGUUCUAGAGACCUUUUAUUUAUCUUGCACUUGCUAUCUUGAAUUAUUUCAAGACUGAUUAAGAUAUUCCAUUAAUGCUACCCUAUUUUUUCUUCAAAAAUUUCAAAAAUUUCAUUGUUUCAUUCAAUGUUUAUCCUUUUCAUAUUUUCGUACAAGCAUUUGCUUGCAAUUAAUCGAGUAUUAACAAUCCUUAUUGUAUCAAUAACUCGAUAUUCUUGACAAAAUCUAAAUUAUCAACUGCAUCUAGAGGUCUAUUGACUGAUCUUUCCAUUUUUCUAAAAUUGAGUUACUAUUAUCACCUCAUAUCUUAUAAAUUCUAGGAAACAAUCAAGGCCCAACAUGUUUUUGUUUGUGAAAAAAUAUAAGGUAAUUCAUAAUGUUAAUUAGUGUACUAUUCUUUUUGAAAUUUUGGAAUAGAUUCACUAGUUCUCUCCAAUUAUAGAUUGGUCCAUAGUUGGCAUCGCAAUAACUCCAUACAUGUCCUGUAGAAUUACCUCAAGGACUGUUCCAUACAACCCAACAUAACGCAUUGUAAAUUGGCCGAACAGGAUUUGUCUGAGUGACUUUCUAGCAAUCAUCUUAGGAAGAUUGCUGAGUAAUAUGGAGUCUUCUUCUUUUAAUAUGAGUGCAGACAUGUAAGAUUCUUAAUAUAUUUCUAAAAAUUAAAAACAAGAUAUAUAGAAGAUGAUAGUUUCACUCCAAAAGAGUUCUUUAUUUUAUCACUGAAAUUUUUACAAAGAAAGUUUGAAGAUGAGGGUCGUGAGAGAUGCAAAUGCUUCUCCGCUCUUACAUGACUCUAUAUAUGGACUUGAAUAAGAAAUAAGAUUAUCUCUCCUACAUAUGCAACAUCCUUGUGGUAGAUUUUAUGGAGAUAAGGUGACUAUUUCUCCUUAUUGUCUUUUUUGAUAUUAUUGAUGGCAACUGUUAUCAUCUUUUUUUCUUUGGCUGACAAAGGUUUGUCCUUUCCCUCGGUUUCUUUCUUUCUAAAUUAUUGAUUCUUAAGCAGGCAUCUUUUAUCUUUCAAUGGUCUCCUGCCACAUACCUAUUAUGAGGUCUUCAUCUAGAGACAUAUCUUCUUCGAUUGUGCCCUUUUUUGACCUUUCAUAGCAAAAGCCAUAAUCUAAUUGAUGCCUAGCACUUUACAUAUCUCGUGGUGCAUUGGCUGGCUAGAUUCUAUAAGAUUUUUGUAAAUCACCUUUUUUUUUCUUUCAAGAUGGCUUGCCUGGUUAAAAUGCUUUCUUUUCUUUUUAAAGAAAAGAUUAUAUACUCUAUUAUGACUUGACGUAGCAAUACUUUUUCCUUGCUUAUCCUCUAAAAUUAUUCAUAGAAGACUUUCAUGCCAAUUGCUCUUUUGUUGGAGAGAACUUUCGACUCAAAUAACUUAAGAUCAUAGUCAUUGUAGACUUGAUCCAAAAUAAUGGUUGGAUUAAUUCUUUUGCUAUUAAUUCCAACUUAUAUCAUGUGCAUUGCUGGAUACCAUGUAUUAUAGUACACUGGGCAAGUAGUAAGAAAUUUGACAUAAAUUGACUCUUUUGUCUUAGUUACUUUUUUUAGGCUAAUAAUAGCUUCUAUGAUUGUUUUUAGAACUAAUUCUGGCUCCCAGCAAUUUUCACUGACAUAAAUAAGAUUAAUAAAACCAUAUUAAACAUGUUUUUUUAUUAUUUCUGGAUUCGUUUCUUGAAUGAAGUUAAUUUUUAGUAUAAUCCUUAAUGAUAUAGUAAUAUAACCUAAUUAAGACGAAUCUCAUAAGCUAAUUUACUAAUUCUCUUGUAUUCAUAAGCAUAGUCACAUUCUAAUUAGAAUUUGGCCUUUGACUAAACUGUCCGCUUUUUGUAUAUUGAGACUUUAAGCUCUGUGAAGAGUUUUGGUAACUUUCCCCCUUUGUAUAUUGAUAGAUCAUGAAUUGUGAGUAAAUGCUUUGGAUUUUGGUCUUUAAGUUUUGUGAUGAAUUAUUAGUAAUCAACCCCUUAUUUUGAUUCUUGAAAUAGAUCUUUUUUAGCAUAUUGCUAAUAUAUUGUUAUGAUGUUUGAACUUCUAGACGAUUUUGUAAACUUUUGUCUUGAAAAAAUUUACUAAUUCUUCUUGGGCAUCAUCAAUCAUAGAAAGCCCAUCAGAAGUCAUCAUAUUUCCUUUGUGAAACAAUUCUUAAUCUUCAGAGCACAUCAUUAUACCUUUUAUUAUUUU
Molecule: long non-coding RNA, 3011 nt
Filed under: Citrus x clementina
Lineage: Eukaryota; Viridiplantae; Streptophyta; Magnoliopsida; Sapindales; Rutaceae
Description: Citrus clementina (C. clementina) long non-coding RNA (CCLE_LNC002803)
Source: RNAcentral